AACCAGGUGGCUGAGACUCAAGCGGUAGAUUGUAAAUUUAUUUACGGAUUAAAUAUCCCCUGGUUA
This 66-nucleotide transfer RNA is filed under the name Lysmata boggessi. RNAcentral describes it as "tRNA-Tyr". The record is from RNAcentral. Lineage: Eukaryota; Metazoa; Arthropoda; Malacostraca; Decapoda; Hippolytidae.